RNAcentral lists this ribosomal RNA (433 nucleotides) under uncultured bacterium. RNAcentral describes it as "partial 16S ribosomal RNA". It matches the Rfam family "Bacterial small subunit ribosomal RNA", at positions 29 to 507 of the family's 1533-position model. The record is from RNAcentral.
AACGAACACUGGCGGCAUGCCUAACACAUGCAAGUCGAACGAGACCUUCGGGUCUAGUGGCGCACGGGUGCGUAACGCGUGGGAACCUGCCCUUAGGUUCGGAAUAACUCCCCGACAGGGGUGCUAAUACCGGAUAAUGUCUUCGGACCAAAGAUUUAUCGCCCUUGGAUGGGCCCGCGUUGGAUUAGCUUGUUGGUAGGGUAAAAGCCUACCAAGGCGACGAUCCAUAGCUGGUCUGAGAGGAUGAUCAGCCACACUGGGACUGAGAAACGGCCGAGACUACUGCGGGAGGCAGCAGUGGGGGAUAUUGGAAAACGGGGGAAAGGAUGAUGCAGCACGGCCGGGAGAGUGAUGAAGGUGUGAGGGAAGUAAAGCACUUUAAUCCGGGAUGAUACUGACAGUACCGGGAGAAUAAGCACCGGCUAACUCCGUG